Balaenoptera acutorostrata (minke whale) is the source of this 2672-nucleotide RNA transcript. It is a transcript of the gene named beta-1,4-galactosyltransferase 4, with no coding region annotated. The record is from RefSeq and is a predicted model, not a curated record. The transcript is spliced from 9 exons. Lineage: Eukaryota; Metazoa; Chordata; Mammalia; Artiodactyla; Balaenopteridae.
CUCCGCCGGCGCCCGGGAAGCGCAGUUCCGCGCGGAGGGCGGCGGGCGCCGUGUGGGCAUCCCCGGGCGGCGGGCCGGGUCGGUCCCCCGCGCCGAAGCCGGGCGCGGGCCGGGCCUUCGGAGGGCCGUUCUGCCUCCGCCCAGGCGGCGGGGCCGGGCAGGGGCCUGCGGAGGCCGAGCCCGGCGGGAGGCACCGGCUCAGGUGCGGGCGGCACCGCGGCGCUCCCAGGCGAGAUGCUGCCAGGGAUUGCUGGAGCGGAACUACCAAGCAGAAGCAGGCAUUGCACUGUCAUUUGUCAUCAGGUUUGCAAUCAGAUUGGAAAAGCUGAACUUGAAGCUUCCUGCCUGCAGUGAGGCCGAGAGAUACCUAUUGCUCACAUAAUAAAAGACAUGGGCUUCAACGUGACUUUCCACCUUUCCUACAAAUUCCGAUUACUGUUGCUUUUUACUUUAUGCCUGACGGUGGUUGGGUGGGCCACCAGUAACUACUUUGUGGGUGCUAUUCAAGAGAUUCCUAAAGCAAAGGAUCUCAUGGCUAGUUUGAACAAGGGUUUAGUUUUGGGGGAGAAAGGAACUGUGACAGAGGAAGCCUCUGUGAAAAAAGCAAACCUGAACAACUGCUCUUCUGUGUCUCCACACCUCAAAGGCCAGAACAAGCUCGUUUUCAAACCAGAUCUCACUCUGGAAGAAGUACAGGCAGAAAACCCCGAGGUGCACAGAGGCCGGUAUCACCCUGAGGAAUGCAGGGCUUUGCAGCGGGUCGCCAUCCUCAUCCCUCACCGGCACAGAGAGAAGCACCUGCUGUACCUGCUGGAACACCUUCACCCCUUCUUGCAGAGGCAGCAGCUGGAGUAUGGCAUCUAUGUCAUCCACCAGGCUGGAAGUAAAAAGUUUAAUCGCGCCAAACUCCUGAAUGUGGGCUAUCUAGAAGCUCUCAAGGAUGAAAUUUGGGACUGCUUCAUAUUCCAUGAUGUGGACCUGGUGCCCGAGAACGAUUUGAACCUUUACAAGUGUGAGGAUCAGCCCAGGCAUCUGGUGGUUGGCAGGAACAGCACUGGGUACAGGUUACGUUACAGUGGGUAUUUUGGGGGUGUUACUGCCCUAAGCCGAGAGCAGUUUUUCAAGGUGAAUGGAUUCUCUAACAACUACUGGGGAUGGGGAGGCGAAGACGAUGACCUCAGACUCAGGGUUGAGCUUCAUAGAAUGAAAAUAACCCGGCCACUGCCUGAAGUGGGUAAAUAUACUAUGAUCUUCCACAAGAGAGACCAAGGCAAUGAGGUGAAUGUAGAACGGAUGAAGCUCUUACAUCAGGUGUCACGUGUCUGGAGAACAGAUGGGUUGAGCAGUUGUGAUUAUAAAUUACUCUCUGUGGAUUACAAUCCUUUAUAUGUCAACAUCACAGUGGAUUUCUGGUCUGGCCCGUGACCCUGGCUCUUCUGGUGACAUUUGGAGGAACUGAAUAUUUGAUUGCAAUAAUUUUGGCCUAGAGACUUCCCCUAGUAGCACACAUUAAGAACUUGUUGCAGCCAAUUAUUGAGCUGAUUCUCCCUCUUUCGUAUUUUCUUAGCAGAACUCCUGGUGAUAUGGAAUGUAAAACAAUUGUUUUGAUCAUGAGGGUUAAAUAUUGUAAUGUAGAUACUUGAAGGACUAAGUAUAAAAGGACCACUCAGAAGAUACCAUGAAGGCUAUUUGAGAACUCUUGAUUGAAGAAGGUUUAUUUAAGUUUGAAGUGACACAUAUUUUCUGGGAUAAAAAAUGCCACAGGAGAUAAGAUUGCUGAAUGUCCCAGAGAACCAGGAUUGUUCUUGUCCGAGCAGGAAAGGGUUGAAGAUAUAUUUCUGUUACUCAUUUAUCCUGCAUGGUCAUCUGGGAAGAGGCAGCUCCCAGGUGAGAAGAAGGCCGAAGAAGAGGGGAGAAAGGUGAAGAAUGAAGAUGCCGCGAACUUGGGACUGAAGAGGUGGCAGAAGGACCGCAUCAGGUGGAGAGCAGCUGUGGUGGUUGUACUGUUGCUAUGGCUGCUGCCCUGCGGCAGGUGUCACCUGCCCAGGAUACUAGAAGAGCCACGGGGUGCGUGCGAGAGAGUGAAUCAUUCUUUAUUCAUCGAGUCAUUCAUCCAUGCAUGCCAUAAUCUGAUCUCGCAAAGCUACAAUGUGGAUGUGAAAAAGAGUCAUUCACCUCUUCAUUUGCCCACCCACCAAACAUUUAUCGAUGCCUGCUUUGUGCCAGGCAUUAUGCUAAGUACUGAAGAUACAGAAUUGAAGGAUGCAUGGUCCUCAAGGAGACUCAUAGAAAAAAUAGGCUUGCAAACAAAUAAUUAUAUUUCAAGGUAUCAGCUGCAAUAAUAGAAGUAAAGUAUAUGAGGUAUUGGGGUGGCAUACUUUGCUUUGUGGAAAAGGAUUGUUACAGGAGAAUUAGCAGGACCUGUAACUCGGAGAGAAUGGUGGCGUGUGGGAAUCUGGGAGACCAGGGUAGGGAGAAGCAGGAAGGAUGAGUAGAUAAGAGAUUAUGUCAGGGGUGACGAAUGAGUGAGACUGAGAAAGUAGGAGCACCGGGAGUCAGGGACAGAGAGAAAUUUCAAGAUGCAGGAAUUUGGUGUGGGAGUACUGCUCAGUGACAUGACUUUGUAGUUGUGGUAUAGCUAGUGGGUAGAGGAGGCGGUGAGGCCAAGGACU